UGGGGAAUAUUGCACAAUGGGCGCAAGCCUGAUGCAGCCAUGCCGCGUGUAUGAAGAAGGCCUUCGGGUUGUAAAGUACUUUCAGCGGGGAGGAAGGCGAUAAGGUUAAUAACCUUGUCGAUUGACGUUACCCGCAGAAGAAGCACCGGCUAACUCCGUGCCAGCAGCCGCGGUAAUACGGAGGGUGCAAGCGUUAAUCGGAAUUACUGGGCGUAAAGCGCACGCAGGCGGUCUGUCAAGUCGGAUGUGAAAUCCCCGGGCUCAACCUGGGAACUGCAUUCGAAACUGGCAGGCUAGAGUCUUGUAGAGGAGGGUAGAAUUCCAGGUGUAGCGGUGAAAUGCGUAGAGAUCUGGAGGAAUACCGGUGGCGAGGGCGGCCCCCUGGACAAAGACUGACGCUCAGGUGCGAAAGCGUGGGGAGCAAACA
RNAcentral lists this ribosomal RNA (427 nucleotides) under uncultured bacterium. RNAcentral's name for it is "partial 16S ribosomal RNA". It matches the Rfam family "Bacterial small subunit ribosomal RNA", at positions 355 to 774 of the family's 1533-position model. The record is from RNAcentral.